Molecule: non-coding RNA, 56 nt
Organism: Lactobacillus sp. ASF360
Lineage: Bacteria; Bacillati; Bacillota; Bacilli; Lactobacillales; Lactobacillaceae
Source: Rfam
UAAGCGCGAUGAUGAUGGCAAUUUUGCUUAGUCUAGCUUAGAUGAUGAAAAUCAUC